AGUAAGGAUAGAGGCGCAAAGACCAUCAGUACACACGUGGAGGAUGAUGAGAUCCUGUGACAUUUGUGGAAAGGGGAAUUUGCCGAAGUGGAGAGAAUCUCAUUUUCUUGAAGCUGGUUCUGUGUUGAAUAAACACAGAAUUGUCAUAUAGGAAACUAUAUGGAGGGCUAUCUUAUGC
RNAcentral lists this non-coding RNA (178 nucleotides) under Sporosarcina psychrophila. Its description in RNAcentral is "Lysine sequence". It matches the Rfam family "Lysine riboswitch aptamer". From Rfam's summary of the family: Riboswitches are metabolite binding domains within certain messenger RNAs that serve as precision sensors for their corresponding targets. Allosteric rearrangement of mRNA structure is mediated by ligand binding, and this results in modulation of gene expression. Lineage: Bacteria; Bacillati; Bacillota; Bacilli; Caryophanales; Caryophanaceae. The record is from RNAcentral.